UUGAACAACAAAGAAGGGCUUAUUUGGCAUCAUACCAUUGGUUGAAGUGAUGUGGAAAUUUCUGAUUGCUUGGAGAGCCUUGGCCGUCCCCUAUAUAUACCCUCCUAUUCUUGACGUUAAGGGGGUUCCACACUUUAGAAUUUUCAGAAAAUUACUUUCAUAAACGUCUAGCCUCUCCUCCCUCUCUCCAUCCUCUAGUGCAUCCCACGAAUUUCAAGCAAGGCCAAAGAAGAGAAGAAGGAGCCGUGAGCAAUCCAUCCAUCAACCACCAUUGAAGACUUGCUUUCAAGCUUCAACGAUCCAAACGUCUACAUCUUCAUCUCCAUCAUCCAUCCACGGUGUGUACCCUCAAUCCCCGGAUUAGAUCGAUCCCUACUUGCUUAUACUAUUGAUGAUAUUUUAGGGUUAAAUUAUAUCCUUGCUUUGAGCGUAUCAGUUCAAACAAUUAAUUUUGAACUAUACUCUAAUUUUUUUUUUUUUUUUGUAACUAGAAAUUUCCCAAAUUUACAGAUUGCGUUUGAAAAUGGCUUAUUGCCAAUCUAUUAGAGACGAGAAAUCAAAUAAGCUAGGUGCAAUAUUGGAACCCGAGACAACAAAGGAGUAAAGCAUGCUUCUUAUCCCUCAUACUUGUAUGAGGACAAACUUUGCAAGUUAGAUUCAGUUAGAUGAACAUAAUUACUUAGGAAACAUAUUCCUCUCUGGCGUCAAGGCACUACCAAAUCUCUCUCUCUCUCUCUCGAGAACACAAAGGCUGCGGCGGCAAGGCACUACCAAAUCUCGUCUGAUGGCUCUCUGGCGUCGCCUCGACGUCGUGGGGAUGCUGCUCGACGGGCAACAUAUGGUUUAGACCUCUGGAAUCUCUUUGUCUGCGGUGUGACAGUUGUAGCUGGGCCUAUUCGGAUCGAGAUGGCUUUGGGGAUGGAGGUUUUGUGCGCCGGUUUCAAGGAAGGUGACGAUGGAGGCGGCUGGUUUCGCUCUAGACGACGGCGACCUUUGCGGCCAUCAUUGAUGGGGUUGGAGGCUUCGAUGCAGAGACCCUUACUUGUUUCGGGUUGGGGUCGGCAUGUGUUGCAGCUCGUCCUUCGUCUUCUGGGUGGUGGUGCAAGAUGGUUGGGAGGCUGAACGAGGCGGUGGCACAAGAUGGUUGGGCGGCUGAACGGGGCGGUGGCGCCGGUGAAGGGUCAUAACCGCGGCAGGUGUGCGUGGAGCAUGAAGGCCAUUGGGCUGUGGAGAGAAGAUGGGUUGGGCUUAACUGUUGGGCCUAGGCAGGAGAGCAGAUGGGCUGGGCUUACUAUUUGUCCCCUUACUUUGUUCAAUAAUUUCCUUUUUUUAAGGGAACUCUAUUUCCUUUGUUUUUAGGGUAACUAUAAGUUUCUACCUUUAGGCUUGCUUAUUUACUAUGUUAUUUCAUAGUCUGUAGGCUUGCUUGAAUAAGUGAGCAUGGGUACCGUCAAAUGAUCGGACUUAAUCUAUGUAUCGCUGUGAUUUUUCACAAACUCUUUAUCUACCCAGAGAUGGUAGAGGGAGGAUAUGUAAUGGUCCUUUCUGGCCUGAGUAUUAAUCUAUAUCGACAUGAUAUUCUUCAAAAAAAAAAAAAUUACUUGGGAAA
Rosa rugosa (rugosa rose) is the source of this 1609-nucleotide long non-coding RNA. RefSeq lists it as uncharacterized. The record is from RefSeq and is a predicted model, not a curated record. Lineage: Eukaryota; Viridiplantae; Streptophyta; Magnoliopsida; Rosales; Rosaceae. The transcript is spliced from 2 exons.